This is a long non-coding RNA of Sciurus carolinensis (gray squirrel), 4734 nucleotides long. RefSeq lists it as uncharacterized. NCBI's taxonomy places the organism in Eukaryota, Metazoa, Chordata, Mammalia, Rodentia, Sciuridae. The transcript is spliced from 4 exons. The record is from RefSeq and is a predicted model, not a curated record.
UGAAGGGAGGUAGCAGGGAGCAGAGCCUCUGAGGUCAUGGGACUUGCUCGUUCCCACUGCCCUGGGUCUGAUUCCCAGAAGCAGGAGUUUGAUCCUUCCGAGAAGCAACAGCAGGAAUUGAGAUCCGUAACAACGUAGGACCAUCUCUGGGUGAAACCCAACAACGCAGCACAGUGAAGAGGAUCCAGGCAUCAGGGUAAAGGUCUUAGCCAUGCGACCUUGAACGAGGUGCCUGAACUCUCUGUCAGUUUCCUUGUCUGUUUGAUACUGUUCUGGUGUUACAGUGAAACAACAUUCCGUGUCUGUUUUAUUUUCUGUUGUUGUAACAGUAGCUCAAUUAGCACUGGGCAUAUAGUAAGCACUCAAAUACAUAUAGAACGAGUUCCAUGAGAUAAUACUUUUCAGUGCUUAUCACCCAGGAAAUGAUAACCGAUCCACAACAACCUACUCAAGAGCAACAGAUGUUUAUUAAGCACCUAUUAAGUGUCAAGCCUUGUUAGGUGUUGGAAAUACAGCAGUGAACAAGACAGACAAGAUCCUGCCUUCAGGAAGCUUCUAUUCCAACAGAAUGAUUGCAAAGAUAGCUGCCCUCAGGCUGCUCUGCCAUCAGGAGGUGGGGCCGGCCCUCCUUCCCUGGAAUCUGGUCAGCUCUUGUGAACUUGCCUUGCCAAUGUGGACGCAGCAGAGGCCUCUCUGUGCCGGGUCUGGGCCUUGGCUUGAAGAGGCUUGGCGGCUUCCACUUGUGCGCAUGGUACAAGUGCAGAAGCUCGGCUCAGACCAUGAGAGAUUGUUCCCUGAAACAGAAACAGCAGCCAGCACUACGCUGGGAGAGGAGGAAAGCAUAAUCCCAGCAGAGUUCACAGCAGGAUGCAUCCUCUUCAAGACCCGCCAGAUUGAUUUCAAGAUCCUCUAAGAGACCAACGUGAAGAACAAGACUGGGAUGGAGAAUGAACGGGUCGGUGCCUGGGAUUUGGAACCAGUAGCCCAACCUGGGGAGAGAAGAGUCUCCUGGCCAAGCGUCCGGAGGCAGAGGAGGCCAGCCAGCGUGUUAACACCAGCCCUCCGAGCCCAGGAGCCCUGCCCCGUCCACUCAGCAGCCUGACUCCGGUCCUUCUUCCAGGGUCUCCUGAGCCGGUUUUGAGCCAGUUUGGUGGGUUGCUGAAAAUGGCCCUGAAGUGACCUCGACUCCUGUCUGAAUCUCGCUCCGCCAGUCACCAGCUCUGUGACUGUCAGCUCCCCAGGCCUCAGUUUCCUUAAUCGUAAAAUGGAGGGGAAACACGGGGCCCCUGCAGGUUUGUGGUGAGGAUUUCAUGAGAUGCUGCAGGGCACAGGUUGUCUGCUGGAACCAGGCCCCCGCAACGCCCGGCCUCGGCUACCAGAGAGCGAGGGGACGCCGUGAGGUGGACGCAUGGACUUGCAGGGCCUCACGGCCCGUUGGUUUGACCACAGAAUCCAGUCUUUAAAGAAGCACCCGCCCUCCAGAUCCCCGCCCUGUGCUCUUCUUCCCUCCUCUCGUCCCCGGGGGGCAUCCGCAUGGGCAGCCUCAGGGGAGCUCCCUUCCCCUUUGGCUGGCUGUGGGUUUUGCCAACCGGAGACCAGGCAAGAGAUCAGAGAGGGUGUGAGGAGGCAGCAUAGGGCCAGCUGCGUGCAGAGGCUCCUCGGGCUGCUCCCUGCAUUCGGUGGCUCUUUGGAACUUCGGGUGCCUGUCGCUUCUCUUCUUGCUUCAGGCUCAGGGUCAGCCAUGGCUGCCUUGGUCACUGGUCCCUUGUUGGUUGCCCUAAACCCUGCCCACACCUUAUAGAGAGUGCCUUACUAAGCUCUCCCCGGUUACCUGGAGUGUGUCGUCUUGUCCCUGGAAGGAUGCCUGUGGAGAGAGGUCAUCAGUUUUAGCCCAUGACUCAAAUUCCCAAGAAGAAUGGCAUUAUUUCAUAAUGUGCUGAAAUCCAGUUCUGCGCCCCCAUCGUGCGAGGGAGGAGAGGGACGUAACCUCAUUAUCGAGCAUCCCCCCCACACACCUUGGACACAUGCGGGUCCCUGGGCUCUAUGCAGGGGCAGAGCUUUGGGGCACCACUCGUGGCUGUUUGGUCACCCAUCAGCCCAGGCUGCAGGUCCUUUCAGGUUGAAGGGCACCGACGCCUCCACGUCAGACGUGGGACAACCAAAGCUUCAGCCAGACUCGAAGCCACGAGGCUCAUGGCGGAGUAUCUCUGCCUUCUCAGGGCCGCUCUGCUUUUACCAAGGCGUGUCCCUUUCCUAGGAAGCUUCUUAGCAUCUCUCUUCUCUCUGCAUCUGAAGGUACUCCCCUCUCUCCUCUCCACCUUGAGGACAAGAAGUACCGUACCUUAGGCCUUCACAGGCGCGCAACUUCUGCAGAAGUACAGAAUUAACCCCUGGAAUACAGCUUCAUCCGAUUUUCCACUUGCCAAAGGCAAGGCUACGGAAAUUGUUUCAACACACGAGUGCACAUGUACAUUAAUAUUUGGAUAAGUUCCGACACACAACGUGAAGCAUUCAAACAAAGCUCCUGAUGUAAGCUGAGUAAGCGCUCAGCGGUGAUGACACAAUUCCGACUUGAUCCCAAUGGGAAUGUCGGGGGUACCCUGCAUACAAUCCAGACUGACAGCCAGGGAGUCAAUAUGAACUGCAGGUUGUCUUGACUACUCUAUAUUGCCCAGGAAUCUCAUCAGUGAUUUCCAGUUUUUGCAAACCGUAGUCUACUUGCAAACACAAAAGUCAUCUAAAAAAACUAUUUGGCAAAAAUGUAGUACCAGGAAUACACUUGAUAAGGUCUCUGGAAUUGCAUCCAUUUAGUUGAAUGUUUCACAUGUUGUUUAUCGUUUUACCUUUUAAGAAAGCACAUUCUGCUACCAAACACAUCCACAGGAUUCAAUUGCCAGAGCAGAGACAUUUUAGGAUAUCUGCAAACCUCAAUUAGAAUUUCCAUUUAAAUUUAAUUUCUUUCAUCUCCAAGUAACCUAGAUGGCAAAGGCAUUAAAUGAUAAUUAAGGGGUACUGGAGUAACCCACUUCUGAAUUUCUUCCUGCGUCUGGGUCAUUUUCCCCAGUCUUGAUAGAGUGAGACAUCGUGGGCAGUGUGCGGAGCCCCAGAUGGGAUAGCAUCUUGAACACUGGCGUUCGCUGAAUGCUCGUGCAGGAUCCAGAAAUACCUCAUGGUCAAGAUGAAAGGUCUAAAUUUAAUACCAAAACCAGAAAAUUGGCUUGGCUUCCCUGUUCUCUGCAUAGGAAAGUUCUUGUUUGGAAGUUCUGAAAAGAGAAGGGGCUGGACACAUAAAGUUCAUGGCAUCCUCAGAUUACCAUGGGGAUCUGAGGGCAGGAGGGGCUCUACUGUUGUCCCAAGACCUCAUCUGGCCCACAGUAGAGUGAAGACAGAGAAUGCACUGGAAGGAAAUCAAGAAGGAGGUGCUCUUUAAUACAGAUAUGCCCACAAUCAGGGCACAUUUGUAUCAUUUAACUUUAAAUGAUAUAUUUCUUCUUCUUCUGGAUUUUCUUAUUCAGCUUUUAAGAUGCAACAGCCUCCCCUGGCUACCUGGAUGGGAUACCUAUUGUUUUUUGUUUGCACAGCAUCCCGACCUCUGCUAACAACUAUGGGCCUUCCUUUGGGGUAGUCACCCUCACCUAGUCUAUUACCCUAGCCUUCGGAGUUAUAGCAAUUAGUUCAAAAGUGGUCUGACACAACUCUCAUUGGCUCUGGGAAUUUGCUGAGACUACUGGAGAAAAGGGUUUACUUUUGCACUAAUUGCUAUGUUGACGGAAUGUAGAACUGUUGCCACUAGCAACCUAUUCAGAGGAAAGUAGAGAUGAGAGGCAGAGAAAGAAUAUAAAGAUGACAUCACUGAGCUCCUAGAUCAAGCCAUACCUGAAGGAAGUAAUAACACUAGAUUUCAUAGUUACACAAAAAUUUGACCUCUUAUCUAAUUUUUUAUCUUAUAUUAGACUAAGUCAUGAAAAGCACUGUGACUUGGAGUGAUUUUGCCCCCUCUGAAUAACCAGAGCAGAGGUUCGCAACCUUGGAUAAUCCUUGCAGUAUCUAUAGUUAAACAAGGAGGUGGAAGGGGCAGCUUCCAGCCUCUCCAAACUCCUCCACACUCCUCCACACUCUCUGCCACUAGAAGGUGGUAACUAUUUUAAGCCCAUUCCAUACAAGCAGCAUCUUCUUAUCAGAAAGCUUCUGUUGAAAAACAGAAUUCGAAUUUUGGUGUUUCAAUAGCAAGGGAUAAGAUGGUUUCAAGUAGGUCUGUUGUUACAACCAAAAACUGCUAAAGAAUCCACAUCUUAGGUCCUGUAGUCUACAACCAUGGGCACCUAAGAGGCCAAAGCUUAAGGACAAUUGAGAAGACAAGACAAACUCUAGGAAGCCCCCCAAUGUGUCCUGUUUCUAUUCCUUGCGGUAUCUACAUGGUUAAAUAAGGAGGUUGAAAGGGAAAGCUCACCUGGCUUAGCCAAUAGAAUCUUUACCCACUAGAGGAUGAAAGUAUAUAUGUGAGUGUCCAUAGCAGCACAUCAUAGCUUGGAAUGGGAGCAACCCAAGAGUCCAUCAACAGAUAUGUGGAUAAACAGAAUGUAGUCUAUCCAUACAGUGGAACAUUAUUUUGCCAUAAAAUGGAAUGAAGUACUAUGCAUACUACAUUAUGAAUGGGCCUCAAAAACAUACUAAGUGAAAGAAGCUGACACCAAAGACCACAUGUUUUAUGAUUGUAUUUUUAUGAAAUGUCCA